Molecule: ribosomal RNA, 253 nt
Filed under: uncultured prokaryote
Description: partial 16S ribosomal RNA
Rfam family: Bacterial small subunit ribosomal RNA
Source: RNAcentral
ACGAAGGUCCCAAGCGUUGUUCGGAAUCACUGGGCGUAAAGGGAGCGUAGGCGGCGUGGUAAGUCAGAUGUGAAAUCCCGGGGCUCAACCCCGGAACUGCAUCCGAUACUGCCAUGCUUGAGGGUUGGAGAGGUAGCUGGAAUUCUCGGUGUAGCAGUGAAAUGCGUAGAGAUGUGGAGGAACACCAGUGGCGAAGGCGACUUUCUGGUCUGUAACUGACGCUGAGGCGCGAAAGCGUGGGGAGCAAACAGGA